This 461-nucleotide long non-coding RNA is filed under the name Cicer arietinum (chickpea). Its description in RNAcentral is "long non-coding RNA (CARI_LNC003354)". The record is from RNAcentral. Lineage: Eukaryota; Viridiplantae; Streptophyta; Magnoliopsida; Fabales; Fabaceae.
UUCAUUGUGGUAUGUCCCGUUUCUUGUUUGCAAUACUGCGUGUUUGUUACGAUAGAUUCGUUUAGUUUCAUUACCAAGUUCCCUUAUGUUUUCUUCCAAUCGAUGAAACACGAAUUGCGGAACAUACACAGAAAUAUUAUUGGAAGAAAGAUCUACGUCCCGUAAAUCGAUUUUUCUUUGUUCAGUUUCAUUGACCUUCGUUAUUGUUAAUCGAUUUUUAACGGGGUAUACAAACCCUAAAAGGUUGGCGCUGAAUUCGAUAUUAACUGUGAGAUUUGAUCUUUUUUUCAUAUUUUGAAGGGGUUUUUGAUUUUGAGCCUGAAAACCCUAAAUUUGAUUUCAAGAUUGAUACUUUGUUCCAUGGCUCUUGUUAUGGAUUCUAUUUCUUGAUGAUUCUUAAUGAAACGGAAAUUUGAACUCUUUAUUCCUAUUUGCAAUCUUGGAUGCAAGACUUACGUACA